GCCUUCGUGGUGUAGUGGUCAGCGCGAUCGGCGCGUAUUCGAGAGAUCCGUGGUUCGAGUCCCGGCGAGGACA
Molecule: transfer RNA, 73 nt
Filed under: Stegodyphus mimosarum
Lineage: Eukaryota; Metazoa; Arthropoda; Arachnida; Araneae; Eresidae
Rfam family: tRNA
About the family: Transfer RNA (tRNA) molecules are approximately 80 nucleotides in length. Their secondary structure includes four short double-helical elements and three loops (D, anti-codon, and T loops). Further hydrogen bonds mediate the characteristic L-shaped molecular structure. tRNAs have two regions of fundamental functional importance: the anti-codon, which is responsible for specific mRNA codon recognition, and the 3' end, to which the tRNAs corresponding amino acid is attached (by aminoacyl-tRNA synthetases). tRNAs cope with the degeneracy of the genetic code in two manners: having more than one tRNA (with a specific anti-codon) for a particular amino acid; and 'wobble' base-pairing, i.e. permitting non-standard base-pairing at the 3rd anti-codon position.
Source: Rfam by way of RNAcentral